Gadus morhua (Atlantic cod) is the source of this 1510-nucleotide RNA transcript. It is a transcript of the gene named nicotinamide riboside kinase 1, with no coding region annotated. The transcript has 9 exons. The record is from RefSeq and is a predicted model, not a curated record. Lineage: Eukaryota; Metazoa; Chordata; Actinopteri; Gadiformes; Gadidae.
AUGUGUGUUUACCGCCCUUCAUGAGUCGGAAAAACGCUAUUUUCCUUACCGUUAACAUGAACCGGACGCUACUCGGCGUUAUGUCAUAGAAUAAUGCUUGUCGGUAACUGAGAGUCUGCGCUGCAAAAUCUUUCCUAUUUUAUUUUCAGCUACUGUCAACUGAAAUGUAUACACUUACUUUAGUUGUUGGAAUAGGAGGGGUGACCAAUGGCGGGAAGUCCACGUUGGCUACCAAUCUACAGAAGAAGCUGCCACACAGUUGCAUCAUUGCACAGGACACAUUUUUUAAAGAUGACUCUGUGGUACCUGUCGACAGUAAUGGAUUCAAACAAUAUGACCUGCUGGAUGCUCUGCACAUGGACAAGAUGAUGGAGGAGAUCUACUCGUGGUGGCGGGACCCACAGUCCUACCACCAGUCAACAUGUGCCACAACGGAAGCUGGCCGCACGGAGGUCUUUGUGGUGAUCGUAGAGGGCUUCCUCAUAUUCAACCACAGGCCUUUGAAUGAAUUAAUGAACAAAAAAUACUUCCUGGAAAUCCCUUAUGAUGAAUGUCAGAAUAGGAGAUGUUCAAGAGUGUACACGCCCCCAGAUCCGCCGGGGUAUUUUGACGGACACGUUUGGCCGAUGUACCUGAAGAAUCGUCAGGAGAUGCAGCUGCAAGGGAUCGGUCAGAAACUUCCAGAAACUAAUAGGGGCUUGAGUAUUGUCAUGAAAGAAGGAAGAAGUUUUUCUGGAUGGAUUGAAGUCAGAAGCUGAGCUACUACGAUAUGUAUAUGAUGAUAUAACUACGGAAAUCAAAAACCUCAGGGGAAAGACUGAAAUUAAUUCAGUCAAUUUGUAAGGAUCAAAGCAGAUGUCAUGGAAGUUUGUCAAUUCUCCCUGCUGGACCAAAUGUUUUUCAUUGCAAAGACUGUUAUUUUGGUAUUGAGGUUUAAGCCCUUUUUCACUUUUAUACGUGGUGCUUGGUUCAUUGAACGUUUGAGCAUUAAUAUGCAAGUUAUUAAGUCAAUAGGACACCCAAUAUGCUACUUAAACCACUCUGUAUUUUCACGUCUUUUAUGUAUUGACAAAUUCUGUGUAAUGUUUAUGUACUGGUAUUUUUUAUUCCAUACUAUGCUGAUAAAAUAAUUAUUGUGGUACUUGUUACAACAUUGGUACAUACAGUACCAAUGUUUUUAUCUUUUAAGCUAUCCGUCUUAAUCAUUAAUUAAAAUGUGAAAAAUCUAUUUGAAAAGUGGACUAAAUAAAUAUUACGAUUACCAUACUUCCAGGGAUGUACAAGUGUGGGACUGGGUGUGGAUAAUGGGUGGUUUGGGCAGCACCUACCUGGCCGAAUCUGAUUGGACUCUUGGGCUGGGUGACGCUGCACAACUGUUGCACAUUGAGUAUCAGUGUGCACAGGUUAAACCAGCCAUCUCCAAAACACACUUCUCCUAGAUGGCAACAUGUAACACCAGGACAUGUAUAAUUUUGUGCAAACUAAUAAAAUAAAAACGGAUUCAACAUCA